CGGGCAGAAUGUGACCCGGACAUCGUCGGCCACAUGAUUGGUGACUAUUUCAUUUCUGUCCAUGAAUUCUGCAUGGCUUUUGCCCACGUCGUUUUGGAAGAAACACCCCCUGAUGAGGAAGACAUGGGCAUUGACUUUGCUCCCCUCAUGUGCAAGGUCAAGCAGGCAAACCACAAGCAAUGCUUUGUUUGCGGUGAGAGGGGGGCUGCCAUCACAUGCGCAGAGAGCGGCUGUACACGCAGCUUCCAUCU
This is a non-coding RNA of Coturnix japonica (Japanese quail), 251 nucleotides long. Lineage: Eukaryota; Metazoa; Chordata; Aves; Galliformes; Phasianidae. The record is from RefSeq and is a predicted model, not a curated record.